Molecule: non-coding RNA, 867 nt
Organism: Manis javanica (Malayan pangolin)
Lineage: Eukaryota; Metazoa; Chordata; Mammalia; Pholidota; Manidae
Source: RefSeq, a predicted model, not a curated record
GAGUGAGGAAACUGCAUCAACCUAUCAUCACAGGACAUGGUUGACUACAAAAUGUAUGUAAAGUCUUCACUUCCCUGGAUACAUUGUAACGGGACAUUGUGCUGCCACUGAAGAGAGGUUUUUUUCUCCAAUGCUUGAAUGUAGGUUGGCCUUUGACUGGCAUUGGCCAGUUAUUGUAGAGCAAACAUGACACAAGCAGAGUCUUGUUAAGUGCCUGCAUGUGGGGCCUGCUCUCCUGGCUUGCUGACGUGACCAUGUGAAACAUCCCAUCCUAUCAGAGGAGGAGCAGCAUCAGCAGAAAUACUUCAUCCAUCUUUCAGAACUGUACAUCAGCCGUUCCAUUCAGACAAACAUCAGGACCCCAUGGACAGAAGCCAUCCUGUCGCCAGCUACUGACAUGACCACAGUUGCAUGAGAAGCAGCCGCAGGGAAGGGAAAGAAGCCAGACCCAGAAAGGCACCUAUUGUAUGGCUCCAUUAUGUGAAAUAUCACACAAUACGUCCCCGUAUUGAACCUAAGAAGGUAGAGGAAUAAACCUACACCAGUAGGAUGAAACACAAAUCUUAAAACUCAAAAGGAAAAAAAUGUAUAAUUUAAAUAUCAGAAAGCACAAGAAUGACUGGGAUAGGAUGAGAAAGCAAUGAAAAAUGGAGAUUAAAAAUAAUGAAUUCUUAAACAAAAAAUGUUGAAAGUAAAGAGCGUAAGUUAUUAACAUAUAGGAAAACAAAUGGAGAAAUGAAUUAAAAAUAAAGAUUUGAAGACAACAAACAGUCAUGAAAUACAAAAUAGAGGAGGGAGAAAUUGGAAUGCAUGAUAGAUACACAAAAAAAGAAAGAUACUAGGAACAGAAACAAAAGACAAUGCAAA